AUUCUGGCUCAGGAUGAACGCUGGCGGCGUGCUUAAUACAUGCAAGUCGAACGAAGCACCUGCGACGGAUCCCUUCGGGGGUGAAGAUGCUUGUGACUGAGUGGCGGACGGGUGAGUAACGCGUGGGUAACCUGCCUUAUGCAGGGGGACAACAGUUAGAAAUGACUGCUAAUACCGCAUAAGCGCACGAGACCGCAUGGUCAAGUGUGAAAAGAUUUAUCGGCAUAAGAUGGACCCGCGUCUGAUUAGGUAGUUGGUGAGGUAACGGCCCACCAAGCCGACGAUCAGUAGCCGACUUGAGAGAGUGAUCGGCCACAUUGGGACUGAGACACGGCCCAGACUCCUACGGGAGGCAGCAGUAGGGAAUAUUGCACAAUGGGGGAAACCCUGAUGCAGCGACGCCGCGUGAGUGAUUGAAGUAUUUCGGUACGUAAAGCUCUAUCAGCAGGAAGAUAAUGACGGUACCUGACUAAGAAGCCCCGGCUAACUACGUGCCAGCCGCGGC
RNAcentral lists this ribosomal RNA (505 nucleotides) under uncultured bacterium. RNAcentral's name for it is "bacterial SSU rRNA". It matches the Rfam family "Bacterial small subunit ribosomal RNA", at positions 16 to 518 of the family's 1533-position model. The record is from RNAcentral.